AUGGCGGCUACUUCAGCCACAAAUCAACCAGUGGACGAUUCUCUCAGGUUGUGUGGAUUUAAAUAAAGGCUUCUGGACGCCACCGACAUGUUUCUGCAGAUGAGUGUCUGACAUGGUCUCAUCAGACUAACGGAGCACAGUCACCACAGAAAUGAAGCCAAAAUAUCGCCGGAUACCAACUCUGCCAUCUUGCAGCAAAGAUGUGAUUUCGGAGCCAGAGUCUGCACAACGGCGAUCGGGGGAUGCAGCCGUGGUGUCAAGGACAUGCCAACAACAUGUGGUCGACCAAUCAGGAAAAUGAAGCCAAACUAUCCCCUGAUUUGAAGGCUAACGUCCUGCACUGAUGACGGGAUUUGGAGCCAGAGUCUGGUCAGUAGCGACCAGGGGAUGGAGCCGAGGUAUCGAGGUCCUGCGGAUACACACACUUGAGCAAUCAUGAGUCAGUCGCACUUUAUUCUAG
Hippoglossus stenolepis (Pacific halibut) is the source of this 460-nucleotide long non-coding RNA. RefSeq lists it as uncharacterized. NCBI's taxonomy places the organism in Eukaryota, Metazoa, Chordata, Actinopteri, Pleuronectiformes, Pleuronectidae. The record is from RefSeq and is a predicted model, not a curated record. The transcript has 3 exons.